RNAcentral lists this ribosomal RNA (428 nucleotides) under uncultured bacterium. RNAcentral describes it as "partial 16S ribosomal RNA". It matches the Rfam family "Bacterial small subunit ribosomal RNA", at positions 354 to 796 of the family's 1533-position model. The record is from RNAcentral.
GUGGGGAAUAUUGGGCAAUGGGCGAAAGCCUGACCCAGCAACGCCGCGUGAAGGAAGAAGGUUUUCGGAUUGUAAACUUCUGUCCUCAGGGAAGAAGGAAGUGACGGUACCUGAGGAGGAAGCCCCGGCUAACUACGUGCCAGCAGCCGCGGUAAUACGUAGGGGGCGAGCGUUGUCCGGAAUGACUGGGCGUAAAGGGCGCGUAGACGGCUGUCUAAGUCUGGAGUGAAAGUCCUGCUUUCAAGGUGGGAAUUGCUUUGGAGACUGGAUGGCUGGAGUGCGGAAGAGGUAAGUGGAAUUCCCAGUGUAGCGGUGAAAUGCGUAGAGAUUGGGAAGAACACCAGUGGCGAAGGCGACUUACUGGGCCGUAACUGACGUUGAUGCGCGAAAGCGUGGGGAGCGAACAGGAUUAGAUACCCUUGUAGUCC